This 434-nucleotide ribosomal RNA is filed under the name uncultured bacterium. RNAcentral's name for it is "partial 16S ribosomal RNA". It matches the Rfam family "Bacterial small subunit ribosomal RNA", at positions 29 to 507 of the family's 1533-position model. The record is from RNAcentral.
AGCGAACGCUGGCGGCAGGCCUAACACAUGCCAGUCGAACGAUCCUUUCGGGGCUAGUGGCGGCCGGGUGCGUACCACGUGGGAACGUGUCUUUGGGCUCGGCAUAACUCAGGGAUACUUGUGCUAAUACCGAAUGUGCCCUUCGGGGGAAAGAUUAUUCGCCUGUAGAUCGGCCCGCGUCUGAUUAGCUAGUUGGUUGAGGUAAUGGCUCACCCAGGCGACGAUCAGUAGCUGGUCGGAGAGGAUGAUCAGCCACAUUGGGACUGAGACACGGCCCGAACUCCUACGGGAGGCAGCAGUGGGGAAUCUUGCGCAAGGGGCGAAAGCCUGACGCAGCCAGGCCGCGUGAAUGAUGAAGGUCUUAGGAUGGUAAAAUUCUUUCACCGGGGACGAUAAGGACGGUACCCGGAGAAGAAGCCCCGGCUAACUUCGUG